UACGAAGGGGGGCUAGCGUUGCUCGGAAUCACUGGGCGUAAAGCGCACGUAGGCGGGUUCUUAAGUCAGGGGUGAAAUCCUGGAGCUCAACUCCAGAACUGCCUUUGAUACUGGGAAUCUCGAGUCCGGGAGAGGUGAGUGGAACUGCGAGUGUAGAGGUGAAAUUCGUAGAUAUUCGCAAGAACACCAGUGGCGAAGGCGGCUCACUGGCCCGGUACUGACGCUGAGGUGCGAAAGCGUGGGGAGCAAACAGGG
Molecule: ribosomal RNA, 255 nt
Filed under: uncultured bacterium
Lineage: Bacteria
Description: partial 16S ribosomal RNA
Rfam family: Bacterial small subunit ribosomal RNA
Source: RNAcentral